GAGUUUGAUCUUGGCUCAGAUUGAACGCUGGCGGCAGGCCUAACACAUGCAAGUCGAGCGGAUGACGGGAGCUUGCUCCUUGAUUCAGCGGCGGACGGGUGAGUAAUGCCUAGGAAUCCGCCUGGUAGUGGGGGACAACGUUUCGAAAGGAACGCUAAUACCGCAUACGUCCUACGGGAGAAAGCAGGGGACCUUCGGGCCUUGCGCUAUCAGAUGAGCCUAGGUCGGAUUAGCUAGUUGGUGGGGUAAUGGCUCACCAAGGCGACGAUCCGUAACUGGUCUGAGAGGAUGAUCAGUCACACUGGAACUGAGACACGGUCCAGACUCCUACGGGAGGCAGCAGUGGGGAAUAUUGGACAAUGGGCGAAAGCCUGAUCCAGCCAUGCCGCGUGUGUGAAGAAGGUCUUCGGAUUGUAAAGCACUUUAAGUUGGGAGGAAGGGCAGUAAGUUAAUACCUUGCUGUUUUGACGUUACCGACAGAAUAAGCACGGCUAACUCUGUGCCAGCCGCCGCGGU
This 516-nucleotide ribosomal RNA is filed under the name bacterium enrichment culture clone ALO1_GLFRUDD03FUAX5. RNAcentral describes it as "bacterial SSU rRNA". It matches the Rfam family "Bacterial small subunit ribosomal RNA", at positions 9 to 521 of the family's 1533-position model. The record is from RNAcentral.